UGGGGAAUAUUGCACAAUGGGCGCAAGCCUGAUGCAGCCAUGCCGCGUGUGUGAAGAAGGCCUUCGGGUUGUAAAGCACUUUCAGCGGGGAGGAAGGGAGUAAAGUUAAUACCUUUGCUCAUUGACGUUACCCGCAGAAGAAGCACCGGCUAACUCCGUGCCAGCAGCCGCGGUAAUACGGAGGGUGCAAGCGUUAAUCGGAAUUACUGGGCGUAAAGCGCACGCAGGCGGUUUGUUAAGUCAGAUGUGAAAUCCCCGGGCUCAACCUGGGAUCUGCAUCUGAUACUGGCAAGCUUGAGUCUCGUAGAGGGGGGUAGAAUUCCAGGUGUAGCGGUGAAAUGCGUAGAGAUCUGGAGGAAUACCGGUGGCGAAGGCGGCCCCCUGGACGAAGACUGACGCUCAGGUGCGAAAGCGUGGGGAGCAAACAGG
This 429-nucleotide ribosomal RNA is filed under the name Chloroflexota bacterium. RNAcentral describes it as "Chloroflexi bacterium partial 16S ribosomal RNA". It matches the Rfam family "Bacterial small subunit ribosomal RNA", at positions 355 to 776 of the family's 1533-position model. The record is from RNAcentral. Lineage: Bacteria; Bacillati; Chloroflexota.